UAUUAAAGAGCUUUGUUAAACUUAGACUUAAGUUUAGGUCAUUUUGGGGGUUUAGCUCAGUUGGCUAGAGCAUCGGCUUUGCAAGCCGAGGGUCAAGGGUUCGAGUCCCUUAACCUCCAUUGGGCUUAUGUCCUAAAUCGUAAUUAAGUAUGUUUUUAAGUAACUUUGUUAAAGUAAUUGUUGGAAUGUGAAACAGAGGAAGUUAAAAUUUCUGGGUUAAGUUGAGAUCUGUUGAUAUUAAGAAGAAUCUCUAGAAGCAAAAGCAAGCUUUCGAUAAAACCCGAAGUUGUUUCGCUAAAGUGCAAGGAUUAACAGGAUUGUAUUUUCCAGUAUGGCCUAUUUUAUAAACGAUCUGCAUUUAGUAAAUAGUUUUUAGUUAAGAAAUAAUGUAGAUUGCUAAGUGUGAUGCCUGAAAGAAGGACAAGUAUUGUAGCGAGCCUAAAUCCUUGUAAUCGUUGCCAGUAUUUAGUGGUAGGGAUUCGGAUAAGACUGCCAUUUAUAAGUUGGAGGAAGGCAAAGAUUGCAUUAAAUCGUUAUCGCUCUUAUGUUUUAGGUUACAAGUUUGCCACAAUAACCCAAAAAAGCUAAGCAAAAUGCUAUAAAGCAGAUUUCAGUUUGGAUUUGCCCGA
This 629-nucleotide unclassified non-coding RNA is filed under the name Borreliella burgdorferi (Lyme disease spirochete). RNAcentral describes it as "partial 16S-23S ribosomal RNA intergenic spacer". The stretch from base 46 to 119 matches the Rfam family "tRNA". The record is from RNAcentral. Lineage: Bacteria; Pseudomonadati; Spirochaetota; Spirochaetia; Spirochaetales; Borreliaceae.